Myotis myotis is the source of this 843-nucleotide long non-coding RNA. RefSeq lists it as uncharacterized. The transcript is spliced from 4 exons. The record is from RefSeq and is a predicted model, not a curated record. NCBI's taxonomy places the organism in Eukaryota, Metazoa, Chordata, Mammalia, Chiroptera, Vespertilionidae.
AGGAACUAAACACAAGAACUCAGGAUCUGGGUCAGGAAGCAGCUCAACACAAUGGAAAACCCAGAGUGUCCUUAGAGUUGUAACAAUUACUGCCAUAGAAGCUCUACUUGCUGAUUGAAGGCAAGAGGACUCAGGUCAUUACUGGGAACAACAGCAACACUACUCUGCAAUAGACAUAAGAGAGGCUAGAAGCUGGGCUGAAAAUGCAGACCACCUUUUCAAGGCUGCCUGCAUUGCUAUUAGCAAUUCUUAAGACAGAAGUUUUCACAAACAGUAGGAAGAGAAAAGGUGGCCUCUUUACAUGGAAGGUAUGUUCUUGGGAAGAGAGAUGGUUGUCAAACAUUUACCAGCACACCAUUGCACCAAUUCUCUAGGGAUGGAACCAGGACAGUGGAUUUCAAGCAGUUCUCACAGGAGCUGAAAAAUCUAAGACCUGCUACUAGAAACAUUUCCCCCCCUUGGAUCUGAUGCCCUGAAAACCAUCUGAAAAUUUUGGUUGGAACUUUAAUGAAUGCAAAUCAACUGACUAGGUCACUUGCUUGUGUUGCUGUCUUUGUGGAGUCCCCACUGGCUUAGGAGAGCUCAGCUUGUACCUGGGAUGAAAAGGUAAAGGGAUUUCUGAUUUUCAGGAAAGUAAUUACAUGAAUUUUGGAUAAGAUACAAUGAAAAUGCAGUAGUGUACAAGAAAUUAAAAUAUUACUUAUGUAUGUCAAUAUCUUCAAUGUUCUUGUUAUCUCUGAACUAAGUCAUACAGAACCUGUCAUGACUUCAUGUUGUCACACAAUCCAAGUUAUGUUAUAUUCUGUAGCUUAGGAAUGAUAAAAGCUGUCAUUAAAUAAGUAA